GUGCCAGCAGCCGCGGUAAUCCCCGCAGUCCAAGUCGCAACCACAUUUGUUGGGUCUAAAACAUCCGUAGCGUGCUUCGUAAGUCUCGUGUGAAAUCUCAUUUCUCAAGAAUGAAAGUGCACAAGAUACUGCGGAGCUUGAGACCGGGAGGCGCAUCAAGUACGUCGGGAGUACCGGUAAAAUGGGUUGAUCCUUGACGGACUAACAACCGCGAAGGCAUGAUGCGAGCACGGAUCUGACCGUGAGGGAUGAAGGCUAGGGGCGCAAAGUGGAUUAGAUACCCUGGUAGUCCACGCCCUAAACGAUGACGACUGGAUGUCGGAGGGGUCUGCCUUUCGGUGUCGUAGCUAACGCGUUAAGUCGUCCGCCUGGGGAGUACGGCCGCAAGGUUGAAACUCAAAUGAAUUGACGG
This 412-nucleotide ribosomal RNA is filed under the name uncultured bacterium. RNAcentral describes it as "bacterial SSU rRNA". It matches the Rfam family "Bacterial small subunit ribosomal RNA", at positions 505 to 916 of the family's 1533-position model. The record is from RNAcentral.